RNAcentral lists this transfer RNA (74 nucleotides) under Candidatus Woesearchaeota archaeon. Its description in RNAcentral is "tRNA-Phe". It matches the Rfam family "tRNA". From Rfam's summary of the family: Transfer RNA (tRNA) molecules are approximately 80 nucleotides in length. Their secondary structure includes four short double-helical elements and three loops (D, anti-codon, and T loops). The record is from RNAcentral. Lineage: Archaea; Nanobdellati; Candidatus Woesearchaeota.
GGGUCCGUAGCUCAGCCUGGGAGAGCAUACGGCUGAAGACCGUAGUAUCGGGAGUUCAAAUCUCCCCGGGCCCA